Molecule: ribosomal RNA, 252 nt
Filed under: uncultured bacterium
Lineage: Bacteria
Description: partial 16S ribosomal RNA
Rfam family: Bacterial small subunit ribosomal RNA
Source: RNAcentral
UACGUAGGGUGCAAGCGUUAAUCGGAAUUACUGGGCGUAAAGCGUGCGCAGGCAGUGAUGUAAGACAGGUGUGAAAUCCCCGGGCUUAACCUGGGAACUGCAUUUGUGACUGCACGCUGGAGUGCGGCAGAGGGGGAUGGAAUUCCGCGUGUAGCAGUGAAAUGCGUAGAUAUGCGGAGGAACACCGAUGGCGAAGGCAAUCCCCUGGGCCUGCACUGACGCUCAUGCACGAAAGCGUGGGGAGCAAACAGG